GGCAGACGGGGGCAACCUGGUGGCGAGUGGCGAACGGGUGAGCAAUGCUUCGGAAUCUGCCCAAUGAUGGGGAAUAAUCCAUGUGCGAAUAGAUUGGGCUGAAUUACCGCUGAUACUGCCCUUUCGGGGAGUAAAGCGGGGGUCGCAAGACCGUCGUCGUCGCAUGGAUGAGCCGAAGUCGUGCAUUAGCUAGUUUGUGUAGGGUAAUCGGUCGCUACCAAGGCGACUGUAUCCUGUAGUCUGGUCUGAUGAGGACGACCAGCGCGACACUGGUGACUGAUGACACGGGCCAGGACUCCUACUGAGGAGGGCAGGCAGUGGUGGAAUAUUGGAGCAACUGGUGGGCAACCCUGAAUCCUACGACAGACGCCGCGUGUGUGAUAGAAGAGCCUGCCGGGUUGUAAGAGCACUCUCUUAGUGGGGAUGAAAAUGCACAUCGCUAAUCACCGGUGUGUCCUGACCUAACCCAAAGAAAAAGCACCGGCUAACUCU
This 492-nucleotide ribosomal RNA is filed under the name uncultured bacterium. RNAcentral describes it as "bacterial SSU rRNA". It matches the Rfam family "Bacterial small subunit ribosomal RNA", at positions 68 to 504 of the family's 1533-position model. The record is from RNAcentral.